Molecule: ribosomal RNA, 468 nt
Filed under: uncultured bacterium
Lineage: Bacteria
Description: partial 16S ribosomal RNA
Rfam family: Bacterial small subunit ribosomal RNA
Source: RNAcentral
GACGAACGCUGGCGGCGUGCUUAACACAUGCAAGUCGAACGGAAAGGCCCUGCUUUUGUGGGGUGCUCGAGUGGCGAACGGGUGAGUAACACGUGAGUAACCUGCCCUUGACUUUGGGAUAACUUCAGGAAACUGGGGCUAAUACCGGAUAGGAGCUCCUGCUGCAUGGUGGGGGUUGGAAAGUUUCGGCGGUUGGGGAUGGACUCGCGGCUUAUCGGCUUGUUGGGGGGGUAGUGGCUUACCCAGGCUUUGACGGGUGGCCGGCCUGAGAGGGUGACCGGCCACAUGGGGACUAAGAUACGGCCCAGACUCCUACGGGAGGCAGCGGUGGGGAAUAUUGCCCAAUGGGCGGAAGCCUGAUGCAGCAACGCCGCGUGCGGGAUGACGGCCUUCGGGUUGUAAACCGCUUUCGCCUGUGACGAAGCGUGAGUGACGGUAAUGGGUAAAGAAGCACCGGCUAACUACGUG